UUGACUUACUGGAUUCCUUACUUGGACUUUAUAGAAUUCAAUUGCGCUUAAGAAAAUGGUAUAAAAAAAUAUUUUUUUUGAUAUAUGCGUAUUGAAUUCAUUGAUUCUAUGGCGUCGUAAGUCAGAUCAAUAUAUGCCACUCUUCGAUUUCAAGCUUUUAAUAGCUGAGCACCUGUGAAAGGCAGGAAAAUAAAGAAGCGCGGACGACCUGCGAUGACUCCAACUUCAUCCCCGUGUACAAGUAGGGAAGGUACUCCUACUACCAGCAAAAGACGAAUGCACCAGGAAAUUCUAUUGAAUUCUGUUCGGGAGGACCAUAUUGGGCAUUUUCACACCUGGAAAAAGCAAAGGCAACUCUGCAAAAACCUUUUGUGAGAAAUGCAAUGUAUUUCUAUGUUACAACGACAAAAGAAACUGUUCCACCAACUUUCACAUGAAGUAAUGUAUACAUGCAUACAGAGCCAUAUAUGGCAAACUAUGUAAUCAGCUGAAUGCAUGCAAAGCCAUAUAUCGAAAUUCUACAAAUCUUAGAUGAUUAUGGCAUAUCACUUGAUCAGAUUUACUGGGAAGGUACUCCUACUACCAGCAAAAGACGAAUGCACCAGGAAAUUCUAUUGAAUUCUGUUCGGGAGGACCAUAUUGGGCAUUUUCCCACCUGGAAAAAGCAAAGGCAACUCUGCAAAAACCUUUUGUGAGAAAUGCAAUGUAUUUCUAUGUUACAACGACAAAAAAAACUGUUCCACCAACUUUCACAUGAAGUAAUGUAUACAUGCAUACAGAGCCAUAUAUGGCAAACUAUGUAAUCAGCUGAAUGCAUGCAAAGCCAUAUAUCGAAAUUCUACAAAUCUUAGAUGAUUAUGGCAUAUCACUUGAUCAGAUUUACUGCAUUACGUCUGAUUAUGUACGAAACAUGUCCAUGCCGUCCAGGUAUUAAAUGAUGCGACAGAGGAAUCUCUUUUUGAAGAAGACAUAGAAAGCGAGAAUCUUCUGAAAGGAUUCUAUUGAACUGGCUAAUAUACACCUUGUGAGAUGUGCAGCAUGCACUCUGCAACUGUGGGUAUUUAAUGUAAACAAAACAAAUUUAAAUUUAAUAAAAUAAGUGGCUG
Drosophila biarmipes is the source of this 1106-nucleotide long non-coding RNA. RefSeq lists it as uncharacterized. The record is from RefSeq and is a predicted model, not a curated record. The transcript has 3 exons. NCBI's taxonomy places the organism in Eukaryota, Metazoa, Arthropoda, Insecta, Diptera, Drosophilidae.